This 485-nucleotide ribosomal RNA is filed under the name uncultured bacterium. RNAcentral describes it as "bacterial SSU rRNA". It matches the Rfam family "Bacterial small subunit ribosomal RNA", at positions 8 to 524 of the family's 1533-position model. The record is from RNAcentral.
AGAGUUUGAUCCUGGCUCAGGAUGAACGCUGGCGGUAUGCCUAACACAUGCAAGUCGUACGGAAAAGAAAUUUUUAGUGGCGAACGGGUAAGUAACGCGUGAGAAUUUGCUUUUAGGUAGAGGAUAACGAAUAGAAAUAUUCGCUAAAACUCUAUAACUCUAUUAAAAAAAUAGCUAAAAAAAGAAAUUUGCCUAGAAAAAAGCUCGCGUCUGAUUAGCUAGUUGGUAAGGGAAAGGCUUACCAAGGCGACGAUCAGUAGCUGAUUUGAGAGGAUGAUCAGCCACACUGGAACUGAGACACGGUCCAGACUCCUACGGGAGGCAGCAGUGAGGAAUUUUCUGCAAUGGGCGAAAGCCUGACAGAGCAAUACCGCGUGAGGGAAUAAGAAGGCCUAUGGGUUGUAAACCUCUUUUCUCAAAGAAGAAGAUCUGACGUUAUUUGAGGAAUAAGCAUCGGCUAACCCUGUGCCAGCAGCCGCGGUAAU